GGCGUUGCUCUGGCAACGUCGCGGCCUUCGCCCCGUCGUGAGGAGGGCGCGCCUCCCCUCAGCCCCGCCAAAACCAGGGGGGAGGGUCCUGUUGCUUUUUAUUGAAAGCCUCAAUUAAAAUUAACCUGGGAGGGCAAUAAUAAGGAAGGAAAUGAAGGGAUGGAUGUAAAAGUAUAUGUGUGCUGCGGUGUCAUUACUUGUCGGUGGCGAUUAAGGGAGUCCUGCUGUCUGGAAAUUGGCUUUGCCUCCCAGGAAACCUGAGGAAAGCGCUGCCCUAGUUAAUGCUGCUGUAGCUCUUGGGAGAGGCUUGGAAUGAAAAAGAUACAGGGAAGUAGCUGAAAACACUGGCUGCAUCUCUGUGUCUCUUGGAGGUCACUUGCUGAUUUAUCUCCAAUUCACAGCUCAUUAGAAGGUGUGUAACUCUUCAGAGAUGUUGUUAUUUAACAGCUGAAAGUUAUUAUGUAAAAUGGGUAAAUUGGAGUCUUUAAAGGAGCUGCCAACUUACAUUUGCCUGAGUUCCUUCAGCACUGGAGAGGAGAGGAAGAAUUCCAGACACGUCAUCCUGAUUUCACAAGUCUGCAGAGAUCUCCAGAGUGGACUUACCCAUCUGUGUGAGGAGGAAGGCUAUACAUGCAAAUUCAGAUUCCUGAUGCAUUCCCACUAACUCUGUCCUUCUGUUCUGGCAGAAUGAGGAAAAACUGGGCUGCCAAAAGGUGAAGACAAGCACUUUAUCUGCAAGAGAAUAUUCAUUUAUAGGACUUCACUGGUGACAUAGGUUUGAAAUGGGAAAUGGGCUUAAAGCCUUCUUCAGGAGAGAUUUACUCACAGUUUUCUGCAGUGUGAUUGCUUUGAGUCUGUAAGGUCAUUGUGGUUGAAGGCAUGAAGAUGAGGACAUCAAAGCCUUUGCCCACCUAUGACAAUUACUCUGGAGACAAACACAGCUCAGAAGACAAAUGUUAUGAGCUACCUGUAAGUUCUGGUUCACAAAACAGAUGAGAAUCCAGAGAUACUCCUGAACUUGGAAAUGAAAUUUAUUCUCAAGGUGGAGCCUCAUCUUGAGCAGCCUUGGGAGGGCCAAAGGUGGUUCCUUUUCCAGUUCCCUGCCUGGAUUUUAGAAGAUACCAUUUUUUAACAUCUAAACAAGGAAAUCACAGCAAUUUCCAUGGGAAGAAUCACAGAGAUGGCAGGGCUUCCCCCCAAAACACUGCCUGUGUAAUUGCUGAAGACAUUCCAAGCCACUCUAACGAAGUGCUGUCUGCCAGUCAUUAUGUUCUCCUUGGAGGACCAUCUGUUGCACUUCAAAUAUGUAAAGGUCUCUAUCAUUUAUUGCUCCAAACAAAUCCAGGCCUUUGUCUGAGGAGCUGGAGCUCCUGAAUGGAUUCUAAAGGUGGUUUCAGUCACAAAGGGCAGGGUAUUCCCUUAGGUUGUAGUCCUUCAGCUCCAAUUUCAGAGCACAAAUAUACUGGUUAAACCAAUAUCUGAAUAUUUUCAAUUUAUUUAGAAAUGAAUUAUGAACAAUAACAACUCAAAGUAUCUGAAAUAUGUUUUCAUUCAGCCAGGAGGACAUUGGAAGAUUUUUGCAUCUGGUGAACAAAUCUUUCCAUUGUAGUGGUAUCCAGAUUUGAUAUAUACUGAGAUUGGAAUGAAAAUUACCUUAUUUUAACUAAAUUAAUUAGUUUAUCUGUGUCUGAAAAUAGUGAUUCAAAGGAAUGGUAAAAAAUAGAGUCAGCAGCUUAAAAUGCUCAAGCCUUCCUUAGCACAUGUCCUUUACAAGGAUGUAAUACUUGGUUGUGCAGUCAUUAUUUAUAGGUUAAUUAGGAUCCCUUCCACGAGUAAAAUGAGCAAGAUCAAGCAUUAAAAUAUGCUGGGUUUUGUUUUUCCUGCUGAGAUUUUAAAGAGGCUGUACAAUCAGAAAAUGUGAGCAUUGUAUUUUCACAGCAGAAAAGUUCUGCUCAGAGGUUUCCAGCCACAGAAAUCCAUAACAAUUUCUGUCUGAUUAGGGAGUGGUCCUGUCUUCAUCCCUUUCUUCUCUUCCCCUUCUCCUUCCUGCUCAGCAGCUAAUGUUCUGGUCAGAAGUAAUAAUAUGUUAGAUCUUGAAUGUCAGUAGCCCCAGAGAUUCUGACAAGACUAUUCAUGUGCAUUCAUACGUCUUAACCAAAGCUGACACUAAAGAGAGCAAGAAUUCUCAUAUUCCUCUUUUUAUUGCUGUGCAUUAAACUCAAAUCUUCUCUUGGAGACCUCUGCUAGAAAUGACAAAUCCACCAUUUGAAAAAGGCAUUUUAGCAAGGUCUAAACAAAGCAGCUGGACAUCAAUCUGGCACAGGGCAGAGGCUCCUGUGAGAGCUCACAGUGCAAAGCUGAACUCUGCUUUACACCUUCCCAGUGCUGUGAGAGAAAUACUAAUGGGAAAUAACCAUUCCUCCUAAUCUUUCUAAAUUUCAAUUAAAAAGUGAUUGUAAUUUUUUUUUUUUUAACUAUAGGAUAUGUCCUUAUUGGGAUAUUUGGAUUCUGGUAACUCAAGGUUGUUUUCUGAGAAACACACACUGAGUGAAUAUUCUGCUCUACCUUUUACUCUGGACAUAUUUUACACACACUUGUAGGAUGGUGUGCUGCACAUGUUUGGGUAAUUUUGCAGGGAUCUGAUUAAGUUGUUAAAGCCAGGUAGGCAAUUUUGCCAGCAGUGAUAUUUUUAAUCUUCUUUUUUAAAAUGGUUUGGUAGUAGUGACUAAGGCAGACUAGGUGGCUCUGGGCAGCUCGCCAUUUUUAGGUAGUUUAAUUUGUUAAAAAUUAUCUUUCUUCCCACCCAAAUCCCCUUGAAACCAUUUGGAGAAGAGAACUGUUGAACAGUUGCCAGUAAUAAGUCCUGCUGAGACCUCUGUAUCCUCCUGACAGAAAUGUUGGUGCCAACUGGAGACUGACUGGCACGAGUUUGAACUCUACACUACUUGAUAUAUUUGCUUCACAUGCACCAAUUACAAUAAUUACCACCUCUGCAGCUGAAGUUUAAGCACUCACUCUGCACUCCAUACCUCAGGUUGUUGGCAGUAUGUUCAAUCCUAUAAUCUCAAUUUUCUUGGAAUAAUUAAGUAGAAAAUAAAUACUUCAAAAAAUUAGGAGACAGUCUGAAUGGAAAUCAGAGGCUGAAUAAUAGAGUUGUUUGUCAUGUUGCUAUUGUUAAGCUGCAUUUAUUUCUAUUGAAUCUUUAUUUCUAAAAGGCAGCAUCUUCUUUUGCCUGCAGAGAUUCACCAGGAGAUGCUGUAAUCCAUUGACUUUUAUAUUCAGCACUAGAGUGUCUCUUGAUGUGAAGGAAAAAGCAACAUGAAUCCUACUUUGUUUAGAUGUUUAAAAAAUAGAACUAUUCCUUUCAAAAUAAAUGCUUUUGACUAGAAGAGGAAAUCACCCAUCCCUUCCUCCUUUUGGCUGGAUAUUUCCAUGUAAGAUUGUAGGGAUUUAAUUCCAGAACUGGUUUUAACUGCCCAGUUCCUGACAAUCCCACUGGUUUAAAUCUGAUGCAAUGGGAACCAUCUCUCCCCCACCCCUGUUGUCUUUCCAAGAGACUGGUUAAUUUUUAAAUUGGAUCAGCAACAUUUUUUUUAGAAAACCUGGUAAAGUUUCUAUUACACAAAGAUAAGCCUUAGACUGAGCACAAACUGG
Long non-coding RNA from Passer montanus (Eurasian tree sparrow), 3654 nucleotides. RefSeq lists it as uncharacterized. The record is from RefSeq and is a predicted model, not a curated record. The transcript has 8 exons. Lineage: Eukaryota; Metazoa; Chordata; Aves; Passeriformes; Passeridae.